GACGAACGCUGGCGGCGUGCUUAACACAUGCAAGUCGAGCGGAAAGGCCCUUCGGGGUACUCGAGCGGCGAACGGGUGAGUAACACGUGAGUAAUCUGCCCUUGGCUUUGGGAUAACUACCGGAAACGGUGGCUAAUACCGGAUACGACAACCGUCUGCAUGGGCUGGUUGGGGAAAGUUUUUUCGGCCAGGGAUGUGCUCGCGGCCUAUCAGCUUGUUGGUGGGGUAAUGGCCUACCAAGGCUUCGACGGGUAGCCGGCCUGAGAGGGUGACCGGCCACACUGGGACUGAGACACGGCCCAGACUCCUACGGGAGGCAGCAGUGGGGAAUAUUGGACAAUGGGCGGAAGCCUGAUCCAGCAACGCCGCGUGAGGGAUGACGGCCUUCGGGUUGUAAACCUCUUUCAGUACCGACGAAGCGCCGAUGAUGGUGGUGACGGUAGGUACAGAAGAAGCACCGGCCAACUACGUG
Molecule: ribosomal RNA, 472 nt
Filed under: uncultured bacterium
Lineage: Bacteria
Description: partial 16S ribosomal RNA
Rfam family: Bacterial small subunit ribosomal RNA
Source: RNAcentral